CUUCAAGGGAGCCUUUCCUCCAGAGGAUGGCAAUCCGGGUGCAAAAUUGAAAGAGCAGGUUCGAGGAAGGGUUAAAAGUACUUUUCCCAACUCCUGUGUUUCAGAGACACGCUGGGCAUCCUUCGGAGGGGUGGGAAGGAUGACAAAAAAGGGAAUCCUGGCUACCGAUUGGCUAGCCUCUAGCAGCUGCAGUUGAGCUAAAGCGGCUGCUAAAGAGCAGUAUUGAUUUGAAGGGGAAAUGUGGAGGGAGUCCCUGAGAGAGGGAUCCAGUCAUUUCUGAGAAGAGCCAGCCUCUUCCAGGAAGAAAGGGGGUCUCCAUCUACCUGCCUGGCCCCUGACAUCCUUCUGUGAAUGAAGAGGAAGAUCCAGAAAAGCCAGCUUGGUGCUACAGUGAUUUAGAAAGGGAAGGGAAUCGCUUCUUCAGCGCAAGGUAUCUUGCCUUUUGCUGGUGCUGCUGUUCUUGCUGCUGCAGUUUCUGCUCCUCAGCUCUGCUGGCCAGCUGGUUGGUGUUAUUUGGGAAUGCAGCCAACUGAGGAUUGGAGAACUUUGCUUUGAAGUUUCAGACGAUGAUCCGUCUCCUAAAGACAGCAAGGAGUUCCACCUAAAUAGGAGGAGCGCAGCAUGCAGCUACCCGGAGCGUGUUGAUUGAAAACUUAGAUUGCUCCCAAAUCACAGCUGAUUUGACCGGUGUCUCAGCUCGAUCAAAGGAAAGAUUUCAAUUAAGGUAAGUGCUGCUUUAUCUGGGUGACUGCAUCGGAUGGAAUUUCUGCAUUGGAAGUUCUAACUGACUAAUCUGACAUUCUGCACUGCAGUAAGGCAUUGUGCUCCUUUGAGUAAAAGGCUUUAGUUUGGAAGCAAAUGUCCCAGAAUGGAACUAUUGUCUGAGAGGAAGAGGAUUUUUGAAGGUGGUUCCUGUGAAAGGCUACAUUUUCUGAAAUCCAAUCACCUUUUGGAUCUCGGUG
This 962-nucleotide long non-coding RNA is filed under the name Ornithorhynchus anatinus (platypus). Its description in RNAcentral is "lncRNA (ENSOANG00000033649.2)". Lineage: Eukaryota; Metazoa; Chordata; Mammalia; Monotremata; Ornithorhynchidae. The record is from RNAcentral.